CAGCCGCCGCGGUAAUACGUAGGGUGCGAGCGUUAAUCGGAAUUACUGGGCGUAAAGCGUGCGCAGGCGGCUUUGCAAGACAGAUGUGAAAUCCCCGGGCCCAACCUGGGAACUGCAUUUGUGACUGCAAGGCUAGAGUACGGUAGAGGGGGAUGGAAUUCCGCGUGUAGCAGUGAAAUGCGUAGAUAUGCGGAGGAACACCAAUGGCGAAGGCAAUCCCCUGGACCUGUACUGACGCUCAUGCACGAAAGCGUGGGGAGCAAACAGGAUUAGAUACCCCCGUAGUCCCUGUCUCUUAUAC
RNAcentral lists this ribosomal RNA (301 nucleotides) under uncultured bacterium. Its description in RNAcentral is "partial 16S ribosomal RNA". It matches the Rfam family "Bacterial small subunit ribosomal RNA", at positions 509 to 807 of the family's 1533-position model. The record is from RNAcentral.